GGUGCUAGUGGGCCAGGUGCGCUAUUGCGAGCAUCUGUAACCUGCGACAUUGUCAAAUUGCGGGGAAAUCCAAAGUGGGCUGCAGUACCGCCUCGGCACCGAAAGGUCUGGCCGACGGCACCUCAGGGAAACUUGGGGGUAUGGUAAGAAUCUGUAGUCUUGGACUAUCCGCAGCCAAGUCCUAACCACCCUUUGAUAAGCCCUUAGCUCAAAAUGGCGAGCUAAGGCUAUAAGGUUGUAUGGAUGCAGUUCAACGACUAAAUGGCAGUGGGCUGGGUAACCGGCUUAAGAUAUAGUCUUGCCCCACCGGAAGGUGGCCUUGGGAUGAGGGGACUAGCAAUCCCCAGAGCCUAAGGAGGGGUUGUUACGCAUGCAGCCCUGGGAACUAACAGUCUUAGUUCGUGGAUUGAUUUGUCUGGUCUAUUCCGAUAACGAGCGAGACCCCAGCGUUCCUAGUAGGGCCAACAGCCCGACCAGCCGCAAGGCUGGUUAGCUGGCGGCUUAACAUAAGCUUCUUAGACGCAUCAGGGCCGAUAAGGUCCUUGAAAUGGGUUAAUAACAGGUCAGUCAUGCCCUUAGAUGUUCUGGGCCGCACGCGCGUUACAAUGGCAUGUAAAGCGAGUGCCGGUUAACAUGGCAUAUCCGGGGCCGAAAGGCUCUGGUAACCAUUAGUCCCUGCUUAGACUGGGACAGAUCAUUGCAAUUAUUGGUCUCAAACGAGGAAUUUUUAGUAAGCAUAGGUCAUUAACCUUUGCUGAAUGCGUCCCUGCCANAUUGUAA
This 780-nucleotide ribosomal RNA is filed under the name Fuligo rufa. RNAcentral's name for it is "Fuligo septica var. rufa partial small subunit ribosomal RNA". It matches the Rfam family "Eukaryotic small subunit ribosomal RNA", at positions 1229 to 1657 of the family's 1831-position model. Lineage: Eukaryota; Evosea; Eumycetozoa; Physariida; Physaraceae. The record is from RNAcentral.